UAGGGAAUCUUCGGCAAUGGGGGGAACCCUGACCGAGCAACGCCGCGUGAGUGAAGAAGGUUUUCGGAUCGUAAAGCUCUGUUGUUAAGGAAGAACGAGUGUGAGAAUGGAAAGUUCAUGCUGUGACGGUACUUAACCAGAAAGGGACGGCUAACUACGUGCCAGCAGCCGCGGUAAUACGUAGGUCCCGAGCGUUGUCCGGAAUUAUUGGGCGUAAAGCGCGCGCAGGUGGUUUAGAAAGUCUGAUGUGAAAGCCCUCGGCUCAACCGUGGAGGGUCAUUGGAAACUAAUAAACUUGAGUGCAGGAGAGAAAAGUGGAAUUCCUAGUGUAGCGGUGAAAUGCGUAGAGAUUAGGAGGAACACCGGUGGCGAAAGCGGCUUUUUGGCCUGCAACUGACACUGAGGCGCGAAAGCGUGGGGAGCAAACAGG
This 430-nucleotide ribosomal RNA is filed under the name Verrucomicrobiota bacterium. Its description in RNAcentral is "Verrucomicrobia bacterium partial 16S ribosomal RNA". It matches the Rfam family "Bacterial small subunit ribosomal RNA", at positions 355 to 776 of the family's 1533-position model. The record is from RNAcentral. Lineage: Bacteria; Pseudomonadati; Verrucomicrobiota.